CACUACUGUAAACGAUGAUAACUCGCUGCCGGCGACACACUGUCGGUGGCCCAGCGAAAGCGAUAAGUUAUCCACCUGGGGAGUACGACCGCAAGGUUGAAACUCAAAGGAAUUGACGGGGGCCCGCACAAGCGGAGGAACAUGUGGUUUAAUUCGAUGAUACGCGAGGAACCUUACCCGGGCUCGAACGGCAGAUGCCAUAUGCAGAAACGCAUAUUCUCUUCGGAGCGUCUGUCGAGGUGC
Molecule: ribosomal RNA, 243 nt
Filed under: uncultured bacterium
Lineage: Bacteria
Description: partial 16S ribosomal RNA
Rfam family: Bacterial small subunit ribosomal RNA
Source: RNAcentral